CCUACGGGAGGCAGCAGUGGGGAAUAUUGCGCAAUGGGCGAAAGCCUGACGCAGCGACGCCGCGUGAGGGAUGAAGGUCUUCGGAUCGUAAACCUCUGUCAGCAGGGAAGAACGGUCACUGUGCUAAUCAGCAGUGAAUUGACGGUACCUGCAAAGGAAGCACCGGCUAACUCCGUGCCAGCAGCCGCGGGAAUACGGAGGGUGCGAGCGUUAAUCGGAAUUACUGGGCGUAAAGCGCUCGUAGGCGGUAUGUCAAGUCAAGGGGGAAAUCCCCGCGCGCAACGUGGGAACUGCCGUUGAAACUGGCAAACUGGAGUGUGUGAGAGGAUAGUGGAAUUCCAGGUGUAGGAGUGAAAUCCGUAGAUAUCUGGAGGAACAGCAGUGGCGAAGGCGACUAUCUGGCACAUAACUGACGCUGAGGAGCGAAAGCGUGGGUAGCAAACAGGAUUAGAUACCCUAGUAGUC
This 465-nucleotide ribosomal RNA is filed under the name uncultured bacterium. RNAcentral describes it as "partial 16S ribosomal RNA". It matches the Rfam family "Bacterial small subunit ribosomal RNA", at positions 338 to 795 of the family's 1533-position model. The record is from RNAcentral.